UUUUUGGAGUAUUAAUUUCUGCAUUCUGCUUAGGUGACUCCGAACUUGUAUCAAGUUCAGUUGCUUCACUACCAGACUUGGCCUUUCUUUUGCUAGUAUUUGGAGGAUUAGCUUCUUCAUUCUGCUUAGGUAUGUCCGAACUUGUAUUAGGUUCAGUUGCGUCACUACCGAACUUGGCCUUUCUUUUGCUAGUUUUUUGAGGAUCAACUUCUGCAUUCUGCUCAGGUGUCUCCGAACUUGUAUCGAGUUCAGUUGCUUCACUACCAAACUUUGUCUUUCUUUUGCUAGUUUUUUGAGGAUUAACUUCUGCAUUCUGCUCAAGUGUCUCCGAACUUGUAUUAGGUUCAGUUGCUUCACUACCAAACUUGGCCUUUCUUUUUCUAGGAUUUGUACUACUAGAAUUGCACCCAUUGCCUUCCUCUGCAACCAUGUUUGACGUCGUGUCUUUGUCACAGCAUUCUGC
RNAcentral lists this long non-coding RNA (463 nucleotides) under Daucus carota (carrot). RNAcentral's name for it is "long non-coding RNA (DCAR_LNC005992)". Lineage: Eukaryota; Viridiplantae; Streptophyta; Magnoliopsida; Apiales; Apiaceae. The record is from RNAcentral.